AGUUAAUGAUCUUGAUUUAAAGUUUAUGUUUUGAAAACAUAAGAAAGAAAUAUAAAUUAAAUUUUCUAUUAACUU
This 75-nucleotide transfer RNA is filed under the name Formica rufibarbis. Its description in RNAcentral is "tRNA-Ser". The record is from RNAcentral. RNAcentral also lists the same sequence under 4 other names. Lineage: Eukaryota; Metazoa; Arthropoda; Insecta; Hymenoptera; Formicidae.